RNAcentral lists this ribosomal RNA (465 nucleotides) under Vreelandella stevensii. RNAcentral describes it as "partial 16S ribosomal RNA". It matches the Rfam family "Bacterial small subunit ribosomal RNA", at positions 338 to 795 of the family's 1533-position model. Lineage: Bacteria; Pseudomonadati; Pseudomonadota; Gammaproteobacteria; Oceanospirillales; Halomonadaceae. The record is from RNAcentral.
CCUACGGGGGGCUGCAGUGGGGAAUAUUGGACAAUGGGGGCAACCCUGAUCCAGCCAUGCCGCGUGUGUGAAGAAGGCCCUCGGGUUGUAAAGCACUUUCAGUGAGGAAGAACGCCUGGUGGUUAAUACCCAUCAGGAAAGACAUCACUCACAGAAGAAGCCCCGGCUAACUCCGUGCCAGCAGCCGCGGUAAUACGGAGGGUGCGAGCGUUAAUCGGAAUUACUGGGCGUAAAGCGCGCGUAGGUGGCUUGAUAAGCCGGUUGUGAAAGCCCCGGGCUCAACCUGGGAACGGCAUCCGGAACUGUCAAGCUAGAGUGCAGGAGAGGAAGGUAGAAUUCCCGGUGUAGCGGUGAAAUGCGUAGAGAUCGGGAGGAAUACCAGUGGCGAAGGCGGCCUUCUGGACUGACACUGACACUGAGGUGCGAAAGCGUGGGUAGCAAACAGGAUUAGAUACCCUAGUAGUC